GUGCCAGCAGCCGCGGUAAUACGAAGGGUGCAAGCGUUAAUCGGAAUUACUGGGCGUAAAGGGUGCGUAGGCGGUUGGUUAAGUCUGUUGUGAAAUCCCCGGGCUCAACCUGGGAAUGGCAAUGGAUACUGGCGAGCUAGAGUGUGUCAGAGGAUGGUGGAAUUCCCGGUGUAGCGGUGAAAUGCGUAGAGAUCGGGAGGAACAUCAGUGGCGAAGGCGGCCAUCUGGGACAACACUGACGCUGAAGCACGAAAGCGUGGGGAGCAAACAGGAUUAGAUACCCUGGUAGUCCACGCCCUAAACGAUGCGAACUGGAUGUUGGUCUCAACUCGGAGAUCAGUGUCGAAGCUAACGCGUUAAGUUCGCCGCCUGGGGAGUACGGUCGCAAGACUGAAACUCAAAGGAAUUGACGGGGGCCCGCACAAGCGGUGGAGUAUGUGGUUUAAUUCGAUGCAACGCGAAGAACCUUACCUGGCCUUGACAUGUCCGGAAUCCUGCAGAGAUGCGGGAGUGCCUUCGGGAAUCGGAACACAGGUGCUGCAUGGCUGUCGUCAGCUCGUGUCGUGAGAUGUUGGGUUAAGUCCCGCAACGAGCGCAACCCUUGUCCUUAGUUGCCAGCACGUCAUGGUGGGAACUCUAAGGAGACUGCCGGUGACAAACCGGAGGAAGGUGGGGAUGACGUCAAGUCCUCAUGGCCCUUACGGCCAGGGCUACACACGUACUACAAUGGUCGGUACAGAGGGUUGCGAAGCCGCGAGGUGGAGCCAAUCCCAGAAAGCCGAUCCCAGUCCGGAUCGAAGUCUGCAACUCGACUUCGUGAAGUCGGAAUCGCUAGUAAUCGCGGAUCAGCUAUGCCGCGGUGAAUACGUUCCCGGGCCUUGUACACACCGCCCGUCACACCAUGGGAGUGGGUUGCUCCAGAAGCCGUUAGUCUAACCGCAAGGAGGACGACGACCACGGAGUGGUUCACGACUGGGGUGAAGUCGUAACAAGGUAACC
This 999-nucleotide ribosomal RNA is filed under the name uncultured bacterium. Its description in RNAcentral is "bacterial SSU rRNA". It matches the Rfam family "Bacterial small subunit ribosomal RNA", at positions 505 to 1501 of the family's 1533-position model. The record is from RNAcentral.